Molecule: small RNA, 109 nt
Filed under: Flavobacteriaceae bacterium
Lineage: Bacteria; Pseudomonadati; Bacteroidota; Flavobacteriia; Flavobacteriales; Flavobacteriaceae
Description: 6S RNA
Rfam family: 6S-Flavo RNA
Source: RNAcentral
ACUCAACAGGAAUUCUUUAAAAAGGGUGAGUUGAAGUUGUAAAAGCGCGCCGUCUUAGAGCGGAUACUUGACCAGCUUGUUAGCCCUAAACAUUCAUUUUAAGGAGUUU